Molecule: ribosomal RNA, 110 nt
Filed under: Gemmataceae bacterium
Lineage: Bacteria; Pseudomonadati; Planctomycetota; Planctomycetia; Gemmatales; Gemmataceae
Source: RNAcentral
CCCGGUGACUUUACCUGGAAGGCCACACCCGUUCCCAUUCCGAACACGGCCGUUAAGCUUCCAGGGCCGAUGGUAGUAGCUACUGCUGCGAGAGUAGGUCAUUGCCGGGU